This 433-nucleotide ribosomal RNA is filed under the name uncultured bacterium. RNAcentral describes it as "partial 16S ribosomal RNA". It matches the Rfam family "Bacterial small subunit ribosomal RNA", at positions 29 to 507 of the family's 1533-position model. The record is from RNAcentral.
AACGAACGCUGGCGGCAUGCCUAACACAUGCAAGUCGAACGAGACCUUCGGGUCUAGUGGCGCACGGGUGCGUAACGCGUGGGAACCUGCCCUUAGGUUCGGAAUAACUCCCCGAAAGGGGUGCUAAUACCGGAUAAUGUCUUCGGACCAAAGAUUUAUCGCCUUUGGAUGGGCACGCGUUGGAUUAGGUAGUUGGUAGGGUAAAAGACUACCAAGGCGACGAUCCAUAGCUGGUCUGGGAGGAUGAUCAGCCACACUGGGACUGAGACGCGGCCCAGACUACUACGGGAGGCAGCAGUGGAGAAUAUUGGACAGUGGGCGAAAGCCUGAUGCAGCCAUGCCGCGUGAGUGAUGAAUGCCUUAGGGUUGUAAGGCUCUUUUACCCGUGAUGAUAAUGACGGUACCGGGAGAAUAAGCGCCGGCUAACUACGUG